GGGGGUGUGGCUCAGUGGUGGAGCACUUGCCUAUUAUGCAUGAGGUCCUGGGUUCCGUCCCCAGCACCCA
RNAcentral lists this transfer RNA (70 nucleotides) under Ictidomys tridecemlineatus (thirteen-lined ground squirrel). RNAcentral's name for it is "Spermophilus tridecemlineatus (thirteen-lined ground squirrel) tRNA". It matches the Rfam family "tRNA". Rfam says of the family: Transfer RNA (tRNA) molecules are approximately 80 nucleotides in length. Lineage: Eukaryota; Metazoa; Chordata; Mammalia; Rodentia; Sciuridae. The record is from Rfam by way of RNAcentral.